UGGCCCAUAUUCGUUUUAAAAACCCAACCCAUUUAUGUUACCAAACAAACCCUAUUUUCUAGUUCAUUCUUUACCACAGAAUAAGCAUCGCAGCGCAGCCAAUCUCAUCUUCCCCAUUCACUUGUUUUCUUCUCUGCAACCAUUCUUCCUUCACUGGCCGCCCUUCAAUAUUUCGUAUUAUGAAGACAACAAUGGAAGAGUAAUGAAAAUAAUUGCUAGCUGUCGAUGAUUUCAGACAACCUGAAGGUGUUGGACAGUACCAAGCUUAGAGCUUGAUCGUGUUGAUGCAAAUACAGACACUCACUCUUCCGGUUACAUAGGAUUUCCUUUCUACUUUAAUUUUGGUUUUUAAUUAUGUAAAUUUAUUCAAGGUUUUGGGAUUAGGGGUCCACUAGGUGGAUUCCCGAGUUGUACGGUUUAAAAUUAUAUUAAUUUAUUAAUUCAAGUCUGAGGAUUCUUAUUUUA
This is a long non-coding RNA of Cornus florida, 465 nucleotides long. RefSeq lists it as uncharacterized. NCBI's taxonomy places the organism in Eukaryota, Viridiplantae, Streptophyta, Magnoliopsida, Cornales, Cornaceae. The transcript has 2 exons. The record is from RefSeq and is a predicted model, not a curated record.